This is a non-coding RNA of Haemonchus contortus (barber pole worm), 75 nucleotides long. Lineage: Eukaryota; Metazoa; Nematoda; Chromadorea; Rhabditida; Trichostrongylidae. The record is from Rfam.
GGCCAAAAUUUGAAAUAGAGUGGAUUAGGAAGAUCAUCUGACCCUACUAAACUACACUACUUCAAGUUUGUGCCC